This 42-nucleotide ribosomal RNA is filed under the name Aspergillus fumigatus. RNAcentral describes it as "partial small subunit ribosomal RNA". Lineage: Eukaryota; Fungi; Ascomycota; Eurotiomycetes; Eurotiales; Aspergillaceae. The record is from RNAcentral.
AGUGUACAAGUUUCCGUAGGUGAACUUGCGGAAGGAUCAUUA